GCCGGAGUGCUGAAAUGGCAGACAGGCUCGGCUCAAACCGAGUGGGGCAACCGUGUGGGUUCGAGUCCCACCUCCGGCA
This 79-nucleotide transfer RNA is filed under the name Chloroflexaceae bacterium. Its description in RNAcentral is "tRNA-OTHER". It matches the Rfam family "tRNA". Rfam says of the family: Transfer RNA (tRNA) molecules are approximately 80 nucleotides in length. Their secondary structure includes four short double-helical elements and three loops (D, anti-codon, and T loops). Further hydrogen bonds mediate the characteristic L-shaped molecular structure. tRNAs have two regions of fundamental functional importance: the anti-codon, which is responsible for specific mRNA codon recognition, and the 3' end, to which the tRNAs corresponding amino acid is attached (by aminoacyl-tRNA synthetases). tRNAs cope with the degeneracy of the genetic code in two manners: having more than one tRNA (with a specific anti-codon) for a particular amino acid; and 'wobble' base-pairing, i.e. permitting non-standard base-pairing at the 3rd anti-codon position. Lineage: Bacteria; Bacillati; Chloroflexota; Chloroflexia; Chloroflexales; Chloroflexaceae. The record is from RNAcentral.